Dipodomys spectabilis (banner-tailed kangaroo rat) is the source of this 133-nucleotide long non-coding RNA. RefSeq lists it as uncharacterized. The transcript is spliced from 3 exons. Lineage: Eukaryota; Metazoa; Chordata; Mammalia; Rodentia; Heteromyidae. The record is from RefSeq and is a predicted model, not a curated record.
ACAUUACCUGUCCUCUGUUUGAAAACUUGUAGAUUAUUUAUUAAUUUACAAAAGUAUGAAGUGUGGAGACUAUAUACCCUACAAUUUUCUGAUUAUUAAUGCCAGUAAAAUGUUAAUUCUACCCUUUAAAAAA